Molecule: non-coding RNA, 393 nt
Organism: Candoia aspera
Lineage: Eukaryota; Metazoa; Chordata; Lepidosauria; Squamata; Candoiidae
Source: the annotation of a RefSeq genome assembly
AUGAUCCUGUGGCUGAAUUUGGUUUCCUUCCUAGCAGUCCUCAGAGGUGUCCUGUCAGAGGCCCAGUUGGUGGAGUCCGGAGGGGACGUGAGGAGGCCUGGAGAGUCCCUCCGCCUCUCCUGCCAAGCCUCUGGGUUCAACUUCGGGGGCUACCACAUGAGCUGGGUGAGACAGGCCCCUGGGAAAGGGCUGGAAUGGGUUGCAGUUAUUUGGUACGAUUCCAGUAAACAGUACUAUGCAGAGUCUGUGAAGGGACGCUUCACCAUCUCCAGGGACAACUCCAAAAGCCAAGUCUACCUGCAAAUGAACAGCCUGAAGCCGGAGGACUCGGCAGUCUAUUACUGUGCAAGGGACACAGUGGGAGGAAGUGAGUCUGAAGCCUGGCAAAAACCU